AGUUAUGAGCAAGAGAACAUUCCUAAAACAACCAACAAAGCCAUCUCUGAGUUUUCCGAUAAAUCCAUUCCGCUGAUGCUCCGUCUUGCUGAGUGGCAGAUAAGCCCAAGCCCACGCCGCCUGCCGGACUAAAGGGUCCUUAAGUGGGACCUCCCUCCAGCUCUCCUUCCUGCUUAACUCGCACGGCGGCGAGAUGUCUUUAAGACUCGUGUACCUGUUAUCAUAUUCAUUAGUAGCCUCUAGCGUGACCAUCUCAAAUUCGAAUUCCAAGUAAUC
This 276-nucleotide long non-coding RNA is filed under the name Daucus carota (carrot). Its description in RNAcentral is "long non-coding RNA (DCAR_LNC004067)". The record is from RNAcentral. Lineage: Eukaryota; Viridiplantae; Streptophyta; Magnoliopsida; Apiales; Apiaceae.